RNAcentral lists this long non-coding RNA (571 nucleotides) under Anser brachyrhynchus (Pink-footed goose). RNAcentral's name for it is "lncRNA (ENSABRG00000016566.1)". Lineage: Eukaryota; Metazoa; Chordata; Aves; Anseriformes; Anatidae. The record is from RNAcentral.
AGUGACAAGGAGUCAUCUGCCUGGGACCCCAGGACCGGUCACCGGCAGAAGAAAAUGUCUGAGAUUAAAUGAGGUCUGAGAGCAGUUUAAGAGACCUGGCGCACACAGAUAAGUGUAUACCAUUUGUCAGCCUGAAAUUUUGCCAUGACACCUACUAUGUGAAUGUUCAAGUGCACCAGCUCUCUCUUCCAUGACAGUAGUUUGCAUCCUGCUAAGGAGGAGUAAGCAAGCGGGGCGACAAUUUUGGACUAGCUGGAGAUAACAAAAACUUCACGUACAGACCUUUAAUGAAACAUCAUUUGCCUCAUGAUGUCUUCAAGCAACAGAGCAAGUGUACCAAAUAUAUCUAGAGAACAAGCUAUAGUCCCAACCCUCCUUCAAGCCUAUACUUGAAAGUGCUUUAUAGAGAGAGAACAAUAUGAAAAGAAAAUGGUAAUAUCAGAACAAAUGUCUUUAACAGAGUUUAGGUUUAGGUUUAACAGGGUUUGUAAAUAUUCUGUUUACAGUGUACAAAAAUAGCUUUUAAUUGAAUUUAUGAGAUUCAAAUAAAAGUUGACAUGAUUUCUUUGCA